AAUAGAUACCCGGGUAGUCCUAGCCGUAAACGAUACUCGCUAGGUGUCGGCCACGGUGCGACCGUUGUCGGUGCCGUAGGGAAGCCGUGAAGCGAGCCACCUGGGAAGUACGGCCGCAAGGCUGAAACUUAAAGGAAUUGGCGGGGGAGCACCACAACGGGUGGAGCUGCGGUUUAAUUGGAUUCAACGCCGGAAAUCUUACCGGGACCGACAGCAAUAUGAAGGCCAGGCUGAAGACUUUGCCGGAUUAGCUGAGAGGUGGUGCAUGGCCGUCGUCAGUUCGUACUGUGAAGCAUCCUGUUAAGUCAGGCAACGAGCGAGACCCACGCCCACAGUUGCCAGCGUACUCUCUGGAGUGACGGGUACACUGUGGGGACCGCCGCUGCUAAAGCGGAGGAAGGAAUGGGCAACGGUAGGUCAGUAUGCCCCGAAUAUCCCGGGCUACACGCGAGCUACAAUGGUUGGUACAAUGGGUAUCUACCCCGAAAGGGGACGGGAAUCUCCUAAAAACCCAAUCUUAGUUCGGAUUGAGGGCUGCAAACUCGCCCUCA
RNAcentral lists this ribosomal RNA (551 nucleotides) under uncultured bacterium. RNAcentral's name for it is "bacterial SSU rRNA". It matches the Rfam family "Archaeal small subunit ribosomal RNA", at positions 728 to 1276 of the family's 1478-position model. The record is from RNAcentral.